CAUGUCUUUUUGCUUAUAAUAUAAAGUCUGACCUGCCCUAUGAAUAAGUUAAUUUUAAAUGGCUGCGGUACUCUGACCGUGCAAAGGUAGCAUAAUAAUUAGUUUUUUAAUUGGGAACUGGUAUGAAAGGUCGAACGAGAAAAAGACUGUCUCAAUUUAAUUUAAAUUAGAAUUUUAUCUUUAAGUAAAAAAGCUUAAAUAUUUUUAAAAGACGAGAAGACCCUAUAGAGUUUUAUAUAAUUUAGUAUUUUUGAAAGUUAAAGAAUUUUAGAUUCGAUUAUAUUAAAUUAUAUUUGGUUGGGGCAAUUAAAAAAUUAAAGUAAUUUUUUUUAAAUUAUACCAUUGAUAUAUGAUUAAGUGAUCCAUAUUUUAUGAUUAAAAGAUUAAAUUACCUUAGGGAUAACAGCGUAAUUUUUUUUAGAGUUCUUAUCGAAAAAAGAGUUUGCGACC
This 450-nucleotide ribosomal RNA is filed under the name Coprophanaeus lancifer. Its description in RNAcentral is "partial 16S ribosomal RNA". It matches the Rfam family "Bacterial large subunit ribosomal RNA", at positions 1816 to 2525 of the family's 2925-position model. Lineage: Eukaryota; Metazoa; Arthropoda; Insecta; Coleoptera; Scarabaeidae. The record is from RNAcentral.